CCUACGGGACGCACCAGUGGGGAAUCUUGGACAAUGGGCGAAAGCCCGAUCCAGCAAUAUCGCGUGAGUGAAGAAGGGCAAUGCCGCUUGUAAAGCUCUUUCGUCGAGUGCGCGAUCAUGACAGGACUCGAGGAAGAAGCCCUGGCUAACUCCGUACCAGCAGCCGCGGUAAGACGGGGGGGGCAAGUGUUCUUCGGAAUGACAGGGCGUAAAGGGCACGUAGGCGGCGAAUCGGGUUGAAAGUGAAAGUCGCCAAAAACUGGCGGAAGACUCUCGAAACCAAUUCACUUGAGUGAGACAGAGGAGAGUGGAAUUUCGUGUGUAGGGGUGAAAUCCGGAGAUCUACGAAGGAACGCCAAAAGCGAAGGCAGCCCUCUGGGUCCCUACCGACGCUGGAGUGCGAAAGCUAGGGGAGCGAAUGGGAUUAGAUACCCCUGUAGUC
Molecule: ribosomal RNA, 442 nt
Filed under: uncultured bacterium
Lineage: Bacteria
Description: bacterial SSU rRNA
Rfam family: Bacterial small subunit ribosomal RNA
Source: RNAcentral